CCUACGGGAGGCAGCAGUAAGGAAUAUUGCGCAAUGGGCGAAAGCCUGACGCAGCAACGCCGCGUGCGGGAUGAAGGCCCUCGGGUUGUAAACCGCUUUCAGUAGGGAAGCGGUACCUACAGAAGAAGCCCCGGCCAACUACGUGCCAGCAGCCGCGGUAACACGUAGGGGGCGAGCGUUGUCCGGAUUUAUUGGGCGUAAAGAGCUCGUAGGCGGUUUCGUAAGUCGGAUGUGAAAACUCCAGGCUCAACUUGGAGACGCCAUUCGAUACUGGAUGACUUGAGUCCGGUAGGGGAGUGUGGAAUUCCUGGUGUAGCGGUGAAAUGCGCAGAUAUCAGGAGGAACACCGGCGGCGAAGGCGGCACUCUGGGCCGGACUGACGCUGAGGAGCGAAAGCGUGGGUAGCAAACAGGAUUAGAUACCCUUGUAGUC
RNAcentral lists this ribosomal RNA (432 nucleotides) under uncultured bacterium. RNAcentral describes it as "partial 16S ribosomal RNA". It matches the Rfam family "Bacterial small subunit ribosomal RNA", at positions 338 to 795 of the family's 1533-position model. The record is from RNAcentral.